UACGUAGGGAGCUAGCGUUGUUCGGAAUCACUGGGCGUAAAGCGCACGUAGGCGGAUGUGUCAGUCAGGGGUGAAAUCCCGGAGCUCAACUUCGGAACUGCCUUUGAUACAGCACAUCUGGAGUCCGGAAGAGGUGGGUGGAAUUCCUAGUGUAGAGGUGAAAUUCGUAGAUAUUCGCAAGAACACCAGUGGCGAAGGCGGCUCACUGGCCCGGUACUGACGCUGAGGAGCGAAAGCGUGGGGAGCGAACAGG
This 253-nucleotide ribosomal RNA is filed under the name uncultured bacterium. RNAcentral describes it as "partial 16S ribosomal RNA". It matches the Rfam family "Bacterial small subunit ribosomal RNA", at positions 524 to 776 of the family's 1533-position model. The record is from RNAcentral.